This 29-nucleotide non-coding RNA is filed under the name Rattus norvegicus (Norway rat). The record is from RNAcentral. Lineage: Eukaryota; Metazoa; Chordata; Mammalia; Rodentia; Muridae.
UUGGUCAGAGUCACACUUAGGUAUUUUAU